AUGUCUUCCUCCUCAUCCCACGCCACGGCCAAUCCCCUCAACAACCAAAUCACCGAGAAGCUUACCCGUGAAAACUUCCUUCUGUGGAAGACCCAACUCCUUCCCCAGAUACGAGGAGCCUCCCUUUUCGGAUACCUAGAUGGAUCCAUUGUCGAGCCUGAGAAAACCAUCACCAGCACCGACAAAGAUGGCAAGCCUACGAGCAUGCCAAACCCGGCGCACGCGACCUGGGUCACCCAGAACCAGCAAGUGCUUGCCUACCUCCUGACUUCGAUCUCGAGGGAGGUGCUGACGCAGAUGGUCGCCGUGGAGACGGCGCACGCGGCAUGGACCGCUUGGACGAACAUCUUUUCAUCGCACUCCCUCUCUCGAAUCAACAACCUCCGGAUCUCCCUCUCCAACGCCGAGAAAGGAACCCAGUCAAUCGCGGUCUACUUCGCCAAGAUGCGGUAG
Molecule: ribosomal RNA, 453 nt
Filed under: Triticum aestivum (bread wheat)
Lineage: Eukaryota; Viridiplantae; Streptophyta; Magnoliopsida; Poales; Poaceae
Description: partial small subunit ribosomal RNA
Source: RNAcentral